CACGACAAUGGCGGCUUUGUCUCCGGGUGGUAGGGUUACAGACCAACAGGUUUUGUUAUCCAUUCUGGAACACAAAAGACAAACUAUGCAUGUAUAAAUGCUGUGUGUAUUACAGAAUGAUGAAUCAGAACCACAGUCUGAGAAAGCUGUGUGCACCAAACAG
Pteronotus mesoamericanus is the source of this 163-nucleotide long non-coding RNA. RefSeq lists it as uncharacterized. NCBI's taxonomy places the organism in Eukaryota, Metazoa, Chordata, Mammalia, Chiroptera, Mormoopidae. The record is from RefSeq and is a predicted model, not a curated record. The transcript has 3 exons.